UGCCCCAUGGCUGAGUUGGUUACAGCGUCCGACUGUUAUUCGUUUGGCCGGGUAAAUAAUCGGAAGGUCGAGAGUUCGAGCCUCUCUGGGGCAG
Molecule: non-coding RNA, 94 nt
Organism: Guyanagaster necrorhizus
Lineage: Eukaryota; Fungi; Basidiomycota; Agaricomycetes; Agaricales; Physalacriaceae
Source: the annotation of a RefSeq genome assembly